CAUGCCGUAAACGUUGGGCGCUAGGUGUGGGACUCAUUCCACGAGUUCCGUGCCGCAGCUAACGCAUUAAGCGCCCCGCCUGGGGAGUACGGCCGCAAGGCUAAAACUCAAAGGAAUUGACGGGGGCCCGCACAAGCGGCGGAGCAUGCGGAUUAAUUCGAUGCAACGCGAAGAACCUUACCAAGGCUUGACAUAUACCGGAAACAUCCAGAGAUGGGUGCCCCGCAAGGUCGGUAUACAGGUGG
RNAcentral lists this ribosomal RNA (245 nucleotides) under uncultured Intrasporangiaceae bacterium. RNAcentral describes it as "partial 16S ribosomal RNA". It matches the Rfam family "Bacterial small subunit ribosomal RNA", at positions 796 to 1041 of the family's 1533-position model. The record is from RNAcentral. Lineage: Bacteria; Bacillati; Actinomycetota; Actinomycetes; Micrococcales; Intrasporangiaceae.